This 433-nucleotide ribosomal RNA is filed under the name uncultured bacterium. Its description in RNAcentral is "partial 16S ribosomal RNA". It matches the Rfam family "Bacterial small subunit ribosomal RNA", at positions 29 to 507 of the family's 1533-position model. The record is from RNAcentral.
AACGAACGCUGGCGGCAUGCCUAACACAUGCAAGUCGAACGAGACCUUCGGGCCUAGUGGCGCACGGGUGAGUAACGCGUGGGAACCUGCCUUUAGGUUCGGAAUAACUCCCCGAAAGGGGUGCUAAUACCGGAAAAUGUCUUCGGACCAAAGAUUUAUCGCCUUUGGAUGGGCCCGCGUUGGCUUAGCUAGUUGGUAGGGUAAAAGCCUACCAAGGCGACGAUCCAUUGCUGGUCUGAGAGGAUGAUCAGCCACACUGGGACUGAGACACGGCCCAGACUCCUACGGGAGGCAGCAGUAGAGAGUAUUGGGCGAUGGGCGAAAGCCUGAUCCAGCAAUGCCGCGUGAGUGAUGAAGGCCUUAGGAUUGUAAAGCUCUUUUACCCGAGAUGAUAAUGACAGUACCGGGAGAAUAAGCUCCGGCUAACUCCGUG